RNAcentral lists this ribosomal RNA (460 nucleotides) under uncultured bacterium. RNAcentral's name for it is "partial 16S ribosomal RNA". It matches the Rfam family "Bacterial small subunit ribosomal RNA", at positions 338 to 795 of the family's 1533-position model. The record is from RNAcentral.
CCUACGGGUGGCAGCAGUGAGGAAUAUUGGUCAAUGGACGAGAGUCUGAACCAGCCAAGUAGCGUGAAGGAUGACUGCCCUAUGGGUUGUAAACUUCUUUUAUAUGGGAAUAAAAUGUUCCACGUGUGGGAUUUUGUAUGUAUCAUAUGAAUAAGGAUCGGCUAACUCCGUGCCAGCAGCAGCGGUAAUACGGAGGAUCCGAGCGUUAUCCGGAUUUAUUGGGUUUAAAGGGAGCGUAGAUGGAUUGUUAAGUCAGUUGUGAAAGUUUGCGGCUCAACCGUAAAAUUGCAGUUGAAACUGGCAGUCUUGAGUACAGUAGAGGUGGGCGGAAUUCGUGGUGUAGCGGUGAAAUGCUUAGAUAUCACGAAGAACUCCGAUUGCGAAGGCAGUUCACUGGACUGCAACUGACACUGAGGCUCGAAAGUGUGGGUAUCAAACAGGAUUAGAUACCCUAGUAGUC